UUCUGCAUACAAUUUCAUUUAACCAGAGCU
This 30-nucleotide non-coding RNA is filed under the name Rattus norvegicus (Norway rat). Lineage: Eukaryota; Metazoa; Chordata; Mammalia; Rodentia; Muridae. The record is from RNAcentral.